This 4147-nucleotide long non-coding RNA is filed under the name Homo sapiens (human). RNAcentral describes it as "HSALNT0398871". The record is from RNAcentral. Lineage: Eukaryota; Metazoa; Chordata; Mammalia; Primates; Hominidae.
UCACGCCACUGAACUCCAGCCUGGGCAGCAAGAGCAAAACUCUGUCUCAAAAAAAAAAAAAGGAUUCUUGAAGGGGUAGUGGAGUUUCUGCACCUCAACAGGUAUUACUGUCUCACAGUUUAAAUGAAUGUUGCCAUCCAAACUUCUAAGUGUUGUUAAAUAUCCGAUACCUCCAGUUAGCAACAGAAGCUCAGUCAACGUGCUUUGUCCAUACAAAUUAUUCUAAGUACUAUGAACAUUAAAAAAGAUAACUUAUGACAUUCAAAAUAAGAGGAGUGUAAUUCACACUACACUGAGAUACCAUUUCUUACCUAUCAUACUGAGAAGUGUAUUCAUUUUUUUAUCUCCGCUGUAACAAAUUACCAUAAACAUAGCAGUUAAAGCAAAACAAAACAAAAAAAUUAUGUUGUGUAGUUCAGAAUUCCAAAAUAUACUUUAUGAGCUAAAAUUAAUGUCUGGGCCUAGCUGCCUGCCAUUCCUGAGGCUCCAGGAGAGAAUCUACUUCUUGCCUUUGCUGGCUUCAAGAGCAGUGGUCCUCAACCAUUUUGGCACCAGGGAUGGGAUUUCUGGAAGAUGGAUGGGGCAAUGGUUUCAAGGUGAAACUGUUCCACUUCAGGUCAUCAAGCAUUAGUUAGAUUCUCAUAAGAAGCGUUCAACCUAGAUCCCUCACAUGCGCAGUUCACAAUAGGGUUCACGCUCCGGUGAGAAUAUGCUGCCACUCAUCUCACAGGAAGCAGAGCUCAGGCGGUGACGUUUGCUCGCUGCUCAACUCCUUCUGUGUGGCCUAGUUUCUAACAGGUCACAGACUGGUACCGGUCUGCGGCCCAGGGGUUGGGGACUCCUGUUCUACAGGCUGCCCUCAUUUCUUGUCACAAGGCUGCAUCUCUCUUGUCAUCAGGUCUCCUUUGCUUCUUACACUUCAGCCUCCCUCCUAUAAUGACCCAUGUGAUUACAGUGCCUUCACCUGAAUAGUCCAUGGUGCUCUCCCUGUUUGAAGAUCCUUUAAUCACAUUGGCAAAGUCAUUUUUGCCAUGAAAAGUAACAAAUGAACAGAUUUUGAGAUUAAGACAUGGACAUCUUUGGUGUUGAGAGCGGUGGGGAGGCUCCUUCCUACCACACAGCUAGCAUUCAAAUUAUUCAGAUCACUCUAGUGGAGAGACCCUGGGUAGACAGGUAUGCUCAUAUGUUGGCGGUUAGAAGGAAAAUGACACAAGUCUGUGUAAGAUAAGUUUGCAAAUCCUCACAUUCUAACACUUAAAAUUUACAUUUUCAUGCAGAAUUCCCCCUUCUCCAGUGAAAAAAGUAUACAAGCAAAACCACGAAAAAGGUAGAUUUACAAAACUAUUCAAAUGUUUCUUAUUUGUAAUAGCAAAAAAGAACCAAAAUUCCCACCGACAAUAUCCUGGAACAGCACCCAACUUACAACAAGAAUAAGGAAUACUGCCACACCACUGCAGAGUGGCCUCUAGGAUCCCCUGUUAACUUAAAAAGAUUAAGGUAUGGAACAAAGUUUGUGACUAUUCUACCAAUGAACCAAGACAGAGGACAACCCAGAAGACUGCACAGGGAGAGCAGAGCUGGCACAGCUUGGAGUCAGGGUUGGGAGUCAGGUGUGGUCAAGACAUGAAGCUACUAACGUCUGCAUGGUCGAUAUCAUGGACAGCCUUAAAUACAGAAUUAAGGAGCUUGGAUUUUAACCUGUAUUCCGAGUUUAAAAAAAUACUGUUUCUGACAAGUACUCUCAGAUUUUGGGAGUGGAAUUUUUAUAAAAGAUAUUUUAAAGGCUGUAAUGCUCCCGCCCCCAAAUUUAAAACGUGUUCUAGUUUUGUCAGCUUAUCCAAGUCUCCAGCAUCUUGCGAGGUUCCCCUAUGAACCCAUGGAGUAUCCAUAUUUUUAACUACUUCAAUUUUGGUAUAGCAGCAUGGCAUGGCCCCAAGGUCCAUGAUCUUGCAUGUUCCUGCAUAAAUGCUCUCCUUUCAGAGCUCCAAGUGUCUGCAUUCAAACAGUGACUAUCCAACUUUUUAAUAGCUGUUUUUCGGCAGAAAGAUGACAUAACUUCUAUGAGCCUCAGUUUUCUUAUUUUUCAAAUGGGGAUUGGGACUGUAUUCAUUGAAAUAGUGCUGAGACCCCUUCCAUGCAUAAAAAUAAUGUGGUAUCUUCAGUGUAAGAUGAAAAAAAAGUCUUCCUUUUGGUUUUUGAAGGUCUUGGAGUUUAUUAUCUAUAUCAGGUUGAACACAUCACUUGGUUAUUAGAACGUUAGAUCAUGUCCACAAUCAGAGCUCCUAUUGGAUUAUUCCAAACCCUGAGUUGCAGACAACAUUAGACAUGACAAGGAAUUCAAGCAAAAGGGAAACAGAAAACACUGUGCUUUUUCAAUGAAUCCAAUGUAGGAAUUGAGCUCCACCUUUUUCAGGAAUAGCUGCAAUUGUGGAAUCAAACAGAAGUCCCUAAAUCUCUGCAGUUUUCUGCUUGAAUGUUUCAUUUUCUAGGUCUCAGUGUAAGUUUCUAUUAUUUUGUGCCCACAUGACCUGAAUGUGACCUGACCAUUUCUGAGUAUGAGGAAUUCAAUUUUAUUGUCCAGAUAUACAGAGAGAAACAAGUUCACUGUUGAUACAAAGAGCAAAAAUGUCAAGAGAAGAGGCACUGGUGUGCAUACGUCAGAUGCCCCACUCUGCAAAAAUCAAUAAUAUCUAAGUAAUAAGAUUCCUCGGGACAUGACCCUCCAGCCACAUUCAUCUGAAGAGAGUACAGAUGUGAGGGGGAAAACUCCUGAUAACAUGUGCUGUCCCAAAGGUUUGUGUGAGUGGAGGAUAAACUAAAGAUACGUGUUUGCUGCAGUUAAGUACAUCAUUUUCUGGCAUAGCAGAGAGUAGCCAGAUUCACAGCAGAAACGACAAAGUCAUUGACUCUAAAUUAGAGGACACUUAAGUUUAGCUCCUACAUUGCUACCUGCAUUCUCUUCACAAUUCACAAUCUAUUUCAUCACAGACAGAGGUGAGACUCAUCUUCAAUACUGUAUCUCACACAACACCCACUGCUCUGUAUCAAGGCUGUAAAGGCAGAAUUCCAUUUCUCAUGCAAAUGAGGGAAACAGGAAAAGAAUACACGUGUGUAAACGAUUUACAGAGAGAAACAGCAAGUUUACUCUUGAUAUGAAGACUAAAAAUAUCAAGGGGAGAUGCUGGUGUGCAUGUGUCAGAUGCCCCACACUAUAUGUCAACAAUAUCCAAGUAACAGGAUCCCUUGAGACAUGACCCCUCCAGCCACAGUCAUCUGAAUACAGUGCAAAUGUGAGGAAAAACCUUCUUGGUGGGUAGAAGAUAAGCAAAAAACAUGUGUUAGCAGCCAUUAAUUACAUCAUUUUCUGGCAUAAGAGAAAGCAACUAAAUUCAUGAUAGAAACAACAAAGUCAUUGACUUCAAAAAAAAAAGAACAAUGAAGUUUAGCUCCUAUAUUUGCUAACUGAAUUUUCUUCAUAAUUGAAAAUCCACUUCACAGGUAGAGGUGAAACUUAUCUUCAAUACUCGAUCUCACACAGCACCUGCUGCCUUGUAUCUAGGCAGUAAGGGCAGAAUUCUAUUUCUCUUGCAAAUGAGAAAAAAGGGAAAAGGAUUUCCAUUCACUUCACCCAUGUGCUCCUUAACUACUUAUGGCAUGCAUACAGUGGGCUGCAACUGUGCAGACAAUCAAACCCAUCACCUCUUUUCCUCAUCUUUCUCACAGUGACUCAUGACUCAUGGUAUGACCACACUCAUGGCUGGCUACAAAUGAGAGGAAAAAAGAAUGUCCUGAUAGUAGCAUGUGAGGAACUGCAUCAGGUAACCAUCUUUCCCCAAAAUUCACUCUCUUUCACACCAUUUCACAGCUAUCUUCCCUCCAUUAAUGGUUCUAUUCCACUGUCCCAUUCAAAGGUUAUCCCAGUGAGAAGAUCAAGGAUGGUCGCUGUCUGCCUUUUCUUCAUUGUUCCAGACAUAAGAGCCAGUGUAGAGAUAAUCAGCCAAUUACUGGGCAAGAAACUAAGCCCAGAAGAACUGAACUCAAGUCAUUAAGCACACAUCCUUCCAGACCAUGAAAGAUAAUAAAAUGAGCAACUAUUCCUUACCAUUUAUGCCUGAGGUUGCAAUUUUUUGAAUUUCUGCAAUCAGAC